Molecule: long non-coding RNA, 935 nt
Filed under: Zonotrichia albicollis (white-throated sparrow)
Lineage: Eukaryota; Metazoa; Chordata; Aves; Passeriformes; Passerellidae
Description: lncRNA (ENSZALG00000000045.1)
Source: RNAcentral
GCUGGAUGUGGGUUCACCCUCCCUGCUGCUCAUUUUCUGGCUGACAAAUUAUCUCUGGCCCUGGUGAGAGUUCAUGGGAAUAUCCUGCUCAGAUUGGCUCACUAUUACAUGAAUCAGGAGUGGGGGUUAUAUGGAAAACCCCACCCUCCAAAAGCCAUGAGGAGCUGCCAGCAGGACCUUGUCUGAGGGACCCUCAGCAGAAGGGCUGAUCCCUCCUCAUCCUCCUCGUGCUCCUCCUCUCCCUGCUCUGCUGGCCUGGAGCAUGAUGUGGAACCUGAUUUGCACCAGUGGCUGACCAGACCUGCUGACCAGCACCAGACCUCAGCAUGGGGCACAACACCAGCACAGGCACACUCAGGGUGCAGAGGACACCAGGACAUGCCCACCCUGCCCGCUGCACUGUGGGCACUCACUGGACACCUGACUGUGCUUUUCCACCCAUCCACGGAUGUCACCUGGAUGUGUCCAUGAACCAGCUCACUCUUGGACCUUCAAAGCUGGCUCAGCAAGGUCCAAAGGGCCCUGUUCCAGCCACACCCCUGUCAGCUCCCUUUCCUUUCCAAGGAUUAGGAUGAGGCAAAUACCUCCAGUCUGCUUUAAUCCUCAGUACCUGAUUCUGCAGGAGGCACACGCAGCACACACACAUCUCAGUAAUAGCCAGGUGAAGAGCAUAAGGCUGGAAGAAGAGGAAAAAUUAAAAAAAAUAAAAAGAAGAAAAGAAAGAAAAAGAGUCUCCAACCCCAGGAAAUCUGUGUUAAUUGCUUAUGAAUGUCUCUGUCUAAAAAAUUAUCGAAUUGAUGUUGUCGUGCUUUUUUUUGACAGCCUGUCUGUUACAUUUUUUUAAAAUAUUCAUGCACCGAAAUCUAAUUACUAGGCAAAUUUAAUGAUAAUGAAAUGAAGGCACUUUAGCAGAAAGCACAGGGCCUUGUUAAUGU